This 384-nucleotide ribosomal RNA is filed under the name uncultured bacterium. Its description in RNAcentral is "bacterial SSU rRNA". It matches the Rfam family "Bacterial small subunit ribosomal RNA", at positions 29 to 417 of the family's 1533-position model. The record is from RNAcentral.
AUUGAACGCUGGCGGCAUGCCUUACACAUGCAAGUCGAACGGCAGCACGGGAGCAAUCCUGGUGGCGAGUGGCGAACGGGUGAGUAAUACAUCGGAACGUGCCCAGUAGUGGGGGAUAGCCCGGCGAAAGCCGGAUUAAUACCGCAUACGACCUACGGGUGAAAGCGGGGAUCGCAAGACCUCGCGCUAUUGGAGCGGCCGAUGGCAGAUUAGCUUGUUGGGGGGUAAAGGCCUACCAAGGCUACGAUCUGUAGCUGGUCUGAGAGGACGACCAGCCACACUGGGACUGAGACACGGCCCAGACUCCUACGGGAGCAGCAGUGGGGAAUUUUGGACAAUGGGCGCAAGCCUGAUCCAGCCAUGCCGCGUGCGGGAAGAAGGCCU